Paramuricea clavata is the source of this 73-nucleotide non-coding RNA. Lineage: Eukaryota; Metazoa; Cnidaria; Anthozoa; Malacalcyonacea; Plexauridae. The record is from the annotation of a GenBank genome assembly.
GACCUCGUAGCUCAGUUGGUAGAGCAUUGGACUAGCACACAGAAAGUCGCGGGUUCGAUUCCCACCGUGGUCA